This 265-nucleotide long non-coding RNA is filed under the name Pan troglodytes (chimpanzee). RNAcentral describes it as "long non-coding RNA NONPTRT002674". The record is from RNAcentral. Lineage: Eukaryota; Metazoa; Chordata; Mammalia; Primates; Hominidae.
CAGCCAGGUCUUGGAAAGGAAGGCCAACAUGCCCUGGGCCGAUCAGACUCCAUCAUGUUGACUCCUGGGAGGCACAUUUUUGAGAAACAAUUAGGAACCAGGAAGCAUUCUGAGGAGGAAAGCCAGGAUGAAGAAGACUCAGAUAAAAAAGUCAUCCCACCAGGUCUGGAUGCAGUGUGACUGUAUCAGUCAGCUUUUGCUGGGUUAUGCCAAGUAACAAACAGCUAACAACGCAUUGCCAAUUAACUCAGCAAUUAGCUUUGCU